RNAcentral lists this ribosomal RNA (500 nucleotides) under Yamadazyma buinensis. RNAcentral's name for it is "SSU rRNA". It matches the Rfam family "Eukaryotic small subunit ribosomal RNA", at positions 1178 to 1699 of the family's 1831-position model. Lineage: Eukaryota; Fungi; Ascomycota; Pichiomycetes; Serinales; Debaryomycetaceae. The record is from RNAcentral.
GGAGCCUGCGGCUUAAUUUGACUCAACACGGGGAAACUCACCAGGUCCAGACACAAUAAGGAUUGACAGAUUGAGAGCUCUUUCUUGAUUUUGUGGGUGGUGGUGCAUGGCCGUUCUUAGUUGGUGGAGUGAUUUGUCUGCUUAAUUGCGAUAACGAACGAGAUCUUAACCUACUAAAUAGUGCUGCUAGCUUUUGCUGGUAUAGUCACUUCUUAGAGGGACUAUCGAUUUCAAGUCGAUGGAAGUUUGAGGCAAUAACAGGUCUGUGAUGCCCUUAGACGUUCUGGGCCGCACGCGCGCUACACUGACGGAACCAGCGAGUUUAUACCUUGGCCGAGAGGUCUGGGAAAUCUUGUGAAACUCCGUCGUGCUGGGGAUAGAGCAUUGUAAUUAUUGCUCUUCAACGAGGAAUUCCUAGUAAGCGCAAGUCAUCAGCUUGCGUUGAUUACGUCCCUGCCCUUUGUACACACCGCCCGUCGCUACUACCGAUUGAAUGGCUA